GUGUCAGCCGCCGCGGUAAAACGUAGGAGACAAGCGUUAUCCGAAUUUACUGGGCGUAAAGCGCGUGCAGGUGGUUGGGUAAGUGGCGUAUGAAAUCUUCUGGCUCAACUGGGAGAGGCUGCGCCAAACUGCCGAACUAGAGGGCGGUAGAGGGAGGUGGAAUUCCCGGUGUAGUGGUGAAAUGCGUAGAUAUCGGGAGGAACACCUGUGGCGAAAGCGGCCUCCUGGACCGUACCUGACGCUCAGACGCGAAAGCUAGGGGAGUGAACGGGAUUAGAUACCCCAGUAGUCC
This 292-nucleotide ribosomal RNA is filed under the name uncultured bacterium. Its description in RNAcentral is "partial 16S ribosomal RNA". It matches the Rfam family "Bacterial small subunit ribosomal RNA", at positions 505 to 796 of the family's 1533-position model. The record is from RNAcentral.